Mus musculus (house mouse) is the source of this 3363-nucleotide long non-coding RNA. RefSeq annotates it as predicted gene, 41918. The record is from RefSeq and is a predicted model, not a curated record. The transcript is spliced from 2 exons. Lineage: Eukaryota; Metazoa; Chordata; Mammalia; Rodentia; Muridae.
UUCCUACCUAUAUAACUUUGACUAUCCUCUGUGGGUCUGCCCACUCUUGUGGAUCACCAAUCGAUACAUUCCACAAGGGCAAAGGGAGCAGAGACAUUGAGAAGGGAGGAGAGAGGAAGGCAGAGUGGGAGUGUAUAUAUUUGAAAGCCCUGUGAGUAUGUAUGGUGGAUAAACCACACCAAGACCCAAAGUCAGUAGGCAGAUGAACUUCACCUAGGGUGAUUGAAGGCUUAUAAAGUUUUGAAGGACUGAGGGCAGGGACAUUCAGGAUGGUCAAAGGUCAUUGGCUGGGGACUUAGGGUACCUGGAAUGCCUCAGCAUGGGAAAGCAUUUCCUGAAUUUCAGGUACUGGCUGAACAGGCUCUUAUUGGGAGAAAGGAAAUUGAUCCUGUAAACUAAUUGAGGCUAUGUUACAUUCCUCAGGUAGAGGCAUGUAUGGGGCUUAGAAUUCCUCGAACAAGUUUAAAGAAGAGGAAAAUUCGCUAAUGAAAGGAGUCCCCCAUAUUGUACAGAGCUGAGGCCAUCGGUGAACUUUGGCCUUAAUUAGCAGACUUUUCCCACAGUCCUCUUGACUUUGAGGAAGGAUCAGCAGAAUGCCCCUCCUUUCUUGACAGAAUAUGGGGGAGGCAUAUGUCUUCUUGCAGAAGUCCUGCUUUGUUUUUCCAAGAUCACUAGGACCUUCUUUCCCCAUCCUCUUCUGUCUCAGCAGUGACCGUGGUAGGCUCAGUUCAGUUCUCUGAUCUGGAGCCUUGGUGGCUGAUGGCCCUGCAAAAAGUGAGACUGCCAGACACCUGACAUCAGCCCCGAAAGGACUCAGGAGCAGAGAACUCUGGACCCUAGCAGUGGGAUGAGCUCUUGAUCUUCCUUCUUGAUUUAUAUGGCAUGGACCUAAAAUGGUUAUUUGGGUGGGGGUAUUGUUUGGGUCUCUCCAAAGCAGCCCCAGCGUGUUAAUUGUGAGUCAGUUCUUUGAAAGAUGAAGGGAACCACAAGGGAAGUCGGGGAGUCUGAAGUGAGACAGAGGUGAGACUAGGAUUAAAAGGUGGUAGAUAGCUCCCACUGUGAUCAAGGGUUUGAAUGUACAUGGGGAAUUCUGAGAAGCUCUGUAGUUUGUGGACCUUGCAGCCUAGCUGUGAAGAAGCAGGGGUAUUUUGCACUGAUUUCCAGGGGUAGCUGUGCAUCUGUCCUAGAGAAUGAGCCCACUGGUUGUUCCUGAAUGUAUGCUGACUGAUCACUGGGCCUGUGUGUAGUGUUCUGGAAAAGACCUGUAGGUACAUAUAGUGUCUAUAGAGUACAGGGUGGGACCAGUGGAAGGGACUCCUAUGUUUCUGAUAUCCCUGAAGGGUCUGUUCCAGGUAAGCUACAUAUAAACUGGUGGCAUCCAUUAGCUAAAGAGUCAUUCUCUUCUCUUGCAGAAAGAAGCCCUCUCUGAUCUUCCUAUCUGCUGUUGCCAGCAUAUUUGCCCCUUCGCUCUGAUUUGGUUCACUGCGGCUAUGUGCUGCCUUUCUGUACCUGUAUCUGGGCUGCUUAAGGUUUCUGGGAAUAUCACACCCACCACUUCUCCAGAGUUAGAAUAGCAGAUCACAGACAUUCAUGUGGUCGGCUGAGUGGGCUGGCCAUUCUAAUCCUGGGCUUCCAUGCUCCCAAGAGCAUCUCUACAAAGGGGUUACAGACCAUGAUUGUGGGGAAGUCAGGGCAGGAGCUUCAAACAACUAUCUACAUCACAUCUACAGUCAAGAUGUGUAGGAAGAAAUGAAUGCAUGGCUGCCCACUUGUUCACUAUUUGUGCUCAGCUUAAUUCAUACACAUGUAAGGACCUUAUGUCUAGGGAAUGGUGCUGCCCUCAGUGGGGUAUGUCUUCCUACAUCAGUUAAUUAAGACAAUCCUCCAUAAACACGCCCACAGACCAACCCAAUGCAAAUAAUCCUUCAACUGAGAUUUUCUUCCCAGGUAGUUCUAGGUUGUUGACAAUUCAAGCUGUCACAUCAUCCAUCCAUCCAUCCAUCCAUCAAUCCAUCCACAUAUUUCUGAAAGCAUUAAAUGCAUGGUGGGUACUGGAGAUGCAGUUCUUAUGGAACCAAAGAAAACAGAUAGUUUCAUAAAUUGCUGGCACAUAGGAAGUGCUGAGGGUAGUCACUAUGGCAGGCUUCUUUUUUAUUAUUCAUCUUCUGUUAUUAUAGAGUUGGGCCCUGGUAUUCUCAUGGGAGGGAAACCCUGACUAUCUAUACUGUCCAUCUAUACCCUGGAAUGUGCAGAGAUGUAGUCUGCUGGAAGGAGAAUCUCUUUGCCACAAAACUCCUUGUGUACUAUAAGUGGCCUCCCUUAACCAGCAGCUGACUUCUUCUGUGUAUCUAUACCAAACUUGCUUUGCAUCUAGUGCACAUUCCAAAGUAGAGUGGUGGACUCAUCUACCCGAGAUUUGAAGUUUGUGUGGAACUUCCUACCCAUAGAGAUGUUUGGCCAGAUAAAGACAGUUGACAGAUGCUACAAUCAAUUCAAAAGGCACAGUGCUGAUUCUGUGUGCUAUUGAGGGCUUGGAGGAUAAAUGGGUGAACACAUGAACCUUGGAUCCCUCCCCUGAAAUGUAUGAGGAUGAGCAAUUAUGAGCUGCUGUGGGGGUGGGGUGGAUAACUGUGGGGACUGUGUGUGGAAAGGGACAGAGUGGCAGCCGGGUUGUGAUGUCAUCUCUACAUCAUCAGAUCUCUGUAGGACUCACUGAAGUGACUGAUUAAAUACUGAAGGAAGUAAAGGAGGCAGACAAGAAGGAAAUGUAGGGUCAGUGUUCUUCACAGCAGGAAAUCCAAGAUGGAGGAUCCUCAAAGGAGUAGCAAGACUGGUUAGGUCCAUGGUGGAAAGGUUGCAGGCUUCAUUGGGUGGUACAAGAAGACUGGCUUUGCUCAUUGAAAUGUGAUCUGUCAAGCAGCAUGGAAAGCCCACGGACAGUGAAAGACGCUUGGGUGGCCAUGUAUGGGUCACAUAAUGCCAGGACUGCACAGUCACAGACAGUCAUCAGGUCACUGCAGAAAUUCAGAGAAGCCGAUAGUGACACCUGAUGAAACACCAGUGUGGUAGCUCUGGCUUCAUUCUGAUCCAACAGAUGCAGAGCUACACAAGUUCCCACACAGCAGAUAGAUUCAAGACAUUUGUGGGAUUAUUUGUGUUGGUUAGACCUGGGAGAGUUUGAGGGGAGCUGCAGCACUCCUCCUGAUCCCCGACUUCUUGUAAUUCUUCACUCCCUGGGACUGUUCUUCACUAGACUGCAUGAGUGUUGUGUCUUUUCUUGAUCCCUGACAUGUUCACGACACUAGUGUCCCCUCUGUCUCUAUGGGGCAGCUUCUGACUUGGCAAUAAAGAGCAUUUCCUGUG